AUGCCUAAUGUCUCUCUCUCUGUGUCUCUCUCUCUCUCUCUCUCUCUCUCUCUCUUAGGAGACAUUGUGUUUGUGUCAGUGUGGGUUUUGGAGAUUAUUAUUCUGCUGUCAUUGUUAGGAGGCUUUCACAUCUACGCCAGAAUCCAAAGAAAACAGAGCAAGAGAGCAGCAGAAAGAAGAGGAGAACCUGGAACAAGAAGACAGAGAGCAUCAUUACAGGAGAUAAACCAUCUCACACAACUGGAACAAUCAGCAAAAUACAACCGUCAGUAGAGAAAAAAAGAAAACAGGCUGAGGUCAUUCUGAUAAUUAAGGACACUGGUGGACUGAAUUGACAAUAAAAAUUUGCCCAUCCAACUAACAAAUCAUUUAGCCUUGUGAAUUGAAUGUAACUGUAGACAAAGCACUUUUAGUGAUUGUCUUUGAUUGAAAGGUCUACAUGAAACUUGCUUUAAUUAGCAGAGUCCAGUCAUCACUGAAAGUAAGUAUGGCCUUCAAUAGUUUAAAAAACACAUCUCUUUACAUGGAUCCUUCACAAAGAACAUAUGAGGUCAGAAUUCCAUUGACAGUCCAUAGAAAGAUUCUUCACUCCAUGCAUAAUGCGACAGGUAUGGAAACUGGUAUCUCUCUUGGCACUGCUUUGCUUGCCUUUACCCCUUCUGGCUGGCAUUUGCUCCAAGGAACUCGGGAUGUGUGGCUGUGAAAGCUGGCCCAUGGUACAUGCAGAUGCUCCUAAAAAUGACUUUUUGUUAAUGUCAUUGUUUGUUCAUUUAAAAGUAUGUAUAUCUAUUUACUGUGUUAUUCUGUGUCCAGGGGUUUGAGUGUUUCAUGUUGAGGUUUGACGACCAUGAGUUCAAUGCUUUGUAUGUGCCUUUCUGCCCUGGGGAUUAAUAAAGAGCACUUCUUGUGGUGAAAUCAUCCACUGUGUCUUGAUCU
Molecule: long non-coding RNA, 936 nt
Organism: Pygocentrus nattereri (red-bellied piranha)
Lineage: Eukaryota; Metazoa; Chordata; Actinopteri; Characiformes; Serrasalmidae
Source: Ensembl